AAAAAAAAAAAGCCAUAGAAAUCUAGAAGAAGGAUAUAUGAUUUUCGGAUCUAUGGAGAAUUCUAUAUAUAUAAAACAAAAUUACAAACAGAAAUAGAAAAUGGUAAAUUGGUUCAUUGAGAUGAACAAAGUACCUGAUUUCUGAGUAAUCGAUUAAUGAUGUUGAGAAACCCAUCUUUGAGAUUUUACACAGUAGUCAUGGAGUUUUUGGAAGAGAGAAAGUGGAGAUGUGGAGAUCGUGGGGAUGAAAGAGAAAAUCGUUUGAGAAAGAAACAAAGUUAAAUAAAAACGACACAUAAAAAUCCUGCGUGAAAAUGAAAGAAUAAAAAAAUAGUACUAAGGUGAUGUGUCAAUCACUGAAUGCAUCAGUUAUUGGAAAAGUGACUGCUGAUUUAGUAUAAUUAGAUGUUAUUGGAUUAUGAUUUUAUAUUUUUUUCUUCACAAAUUAUACUCUUUGCUUCUCUAUAAUUUCUAAUUUCUGUGAAAAUUCACCACACAAACAAUUUUUAAAACAAAGCAUUAAUCCAACACAUGAAAAGUAAAU
RNAcentral lists this small RNA (544 nucleotides) under Arabidopsis thaliana (thale cress). Its description in RNAcentral is "ATSL106620". Lineage: Eukaryota; Viridiplantae; Streptophyta; Magnoliopsida; Brassicales; Brassicaceae. The record is from RNAcentral.